GCCUCAGUGGUGUAGUGGAAUGCACGCUGGACCGGCAAUCCGGAGGGCCUGGGUUCGAUUCCCAGGCUGGGCACA
Molecule: non-coding RNA, 75 nt
Organism: Planococcus citri (citrus mealybug)
Lineage: Eukaryota; Metazoa; Arthropoda; Insecta; Hemiptera; Pseudococcidae
Source: the annotation of a RefSeq genome assembly